CGGUAAUUCCAGCUCCAAUAGCGUAUACUAAAGUUGUUGCAGUUAAAAAGCUCGUAGUUGGAUUUCUGCGGGGACGGAGCGGCCGGUCGCAACUUGCGACUCGAGCUAGCGCUUUCCCCGCAUCCUGCCGCGAACCGUGCUACCAUUAGUUUGGUGGCGCUGGGGAUCGGCUCGAUUACUUUGAGAAAAAUAGAGUGUUCAAAGCAGGCCACACGCCUUGAAUAAGUUAGCAUGGAAUAAUGACUAAGGACUUUGGUUCUUUUCGUUGGUGUUCGGGACUGAAGUAAUGAUUGAUAGGGACAGUUGGGGCGGUCCGUAUUCCAAAGCGAGAGGUGAAAUUCUUAGACCUUCGGAAGACGAACAGCUGCGAAAGCGUUCCGCAAGGAUGUUCCCUUUGAUCAAGAACGAAAGUUGGGGGAUCGAAGACGAUCAGAUACCGUCGUAGUCUCAACUAUAAACUAUACCAGCUAGGGAUCGGCCAACGUUUAAUUAUUCGACUUGGUCGGCACCUUAUGAGAAAUCAAAGCAUCUGGGUUCCGGGGGGAGUAUGGUCGCAAGGCUGAAACUUAAAGGAAUUGACGGAAGGGCACCACCAGCCGUGGAGCCUGUGGCUUAAUUUGACUCAACACGGGAAAACUUACCAGGUCCGGACAUAGUAAGGAUUGACAGAUUGAUAGCUCUUUCUUGAUUCUGUGGGUGGUGGUGCAUGGCCGUUUUUAGUCGGUGGAUGUGAUCUGUCUGCUUAAUUGCGUUAACGGACGAGACCCCAGCCUGCUAAAUAGCGCGGCCGAGCUUUGCUCGGUGCGAGCUUCUUAGAGGGACCAUGAUGCGCGAUAGCACAAGGAAGUUUGGGGCAACAACAGGUCUGUGAUGCCCUUAGAUGUUCUGGGCCGCACACGGGCUACACUGGCGCCUGCAACGAGCAUAUCAGCUGGCCCGAGAGGGUCUUGGCUAAUCUUUGGAACCGGCGCCGUGCUUGGGAUUGACCAUUGCAAUUGUUGGUCAUGCAACGAGGAAUGCCUUGUAAACGCGAGUCAUCAGCUCGCAUUGAAUACGUCCCUGCCCUUUGUACACACCGCCCGUCGCUCCUACCGAUGAAUGUUCCGAUGAAAUUUUCGGAGAGCGCCGGAGAACGGGGCUCCGCCCUGCAGAACUGGAGGCUCAAAGUCACUUAAAUCUGAACAUUUCGAGGAAGGAGAAGUCGUAACAAGGUAGCCGU
RNAcentral lists this ribosomal RNA (1219 nucleotides) under uncultured Rhizaria. RNAcentral's name for it is "SSU rRNA". It matches the Rfam family "Eukaryotic small subunit ribosomal RNA", at positions 577 to 1806 of the family's 1831-position model. The record is from RNAcentral.